UAGCUUGCUACCUGACCUAGCGGCGGACGGGUGAGUAAUGCUUAGGAAUCUGCCUAUUAGUGGGGGACAACAUUCAGAAAGGAAUGCUAAUACCGCAUACGCCCUACGGGGGAAAGCAGGGGAUCUUCGGACCUUGCGCUAAUAGAUGAGCCUAAGUCAGAUUAGCUAGUUGGUGGGGUAAAGGCCUACCAAGGCGACGAUCUGUAGCGGGUCUGAGAGGAUGAUCCGCCACACUGGGACUGAGACACGGCCCAGACUCCUACGGGAGGCAGCAGUGGGGAAUAUUGGACAAUGGGCGAAAGCCUGAUCCAGCCAUGCCGCGUGUGUGAAGAAGGCCUUUUGGUUGUAAAGCACUUUAAGCGAGGAGGAGGCUACUUGGAUUAAUACUCUAGGAUAGUGGACGUUACUCGCAGAAUAAGCACCGGCUAACUCUGUGCCAGCAGCCGCGGUAAUACAGAGGGUGCGAGCGUUAAUCGGAUUUACUGGGCGUAAAGCGUGCGUAGGCGGCUUUUUAAGUCGGAUGUGAAAUCCCUGAGCUUAACUUAGGAAUUGCAUUCGAUACUGGGAAGCUAGAGUAUGGGAGAGGAUGGUAGAAUUCCAGGUGUAGCGGUGAAAUGCGUAGAGAUCUGGAGGAAUACCGAUGGCGAAGGCAGCCAUCUGGCCUAAUACUGACGCUGAGGUACGAAAGCAUGGGGAGCAAACAGGAUUAGAUACCCUGGUAGUCCAUGCCGUAAACGAUGUCUACUAGCCGUUGGGGCCUUUGAGGCUUUAGUGGCGCAGCUAACGCGAUAAGUAGACCGCCUGGGGAGUACGGUCGCAAGACUAAAACUCAAAUGAAUUGACGGGGGCCCGCACAAGCGGUGGAGCAUGUGGUUUAAUUCGAUGCAACGCGAAGAACCUUACCUGGUCUUGACAUAGUAAGAACUUUCCAGAGAUGGAUUGGUGCCUUCGGGAACUUACAUACAGGUGCUGCAUGGCUGUCGUCAGCUCGUGUCGUGAGAUGUUGGGUUAAGUCCCGCAACGAGCGCAACCCUUUUCCUUAUUUGCCAGCGGGUUAAGCCGGGAACUUUAAGGAUACUGCCAGUGACAAACUGGAGGAAGGCGGGGACGACGUCAAGUCAUCAUGGCCCUUACGACCAGGGCUACACACGUGCUACAAUGGUCGGUACAAAGGGUUGCUACCUAGCGAUAGGAUGCUAAUCUCAAAAAGCCGAUCGUAGUCCGGAUUGGAGUCUGCAACUCGACUCCAUGAAGUCG
Molecule: ribosomal RNA, 1257 nt
Filed under: uncultured Acinetobacter sp.
Lineage: Bacteria; Pseudomonadati; Pseudomonadota; Gammaproteobacteria; Moraxellales; Moraxellaceae
Description: bacterial SSU rRNA
Rfam family: Bacterial small subunit ribosomal RNA
Source: RNAcentral